This 776-nucleotide ribosomal RNA is filed under the name uncultured Neocallimastigales. RNAcentral's name for it is "partial large subunit ribosomal RNA". It matches the Rfam family "Eukaryotic large subunit ribosomal RNA", at positions 20 to 644 of the family's 3401-position model. Lineage: Eukaryota; Fungi; Neocallimastigomycota; Neocallimastigomycetes; Neocallimastigales. The record is from RNAcentral.
UACUAGAGUAGCACUCGCAUAUCAAUAAGCGGAGGAAAAGAAACUAACAAGGAUUCCCUUAGUAACGGCGAGUGAAGCGGGAAGAGCUCAAAUUUGAAAUCCUCAAGGGUUCUACCUUGACGAAUUGUAGUUUAUAAGAAGUGUUUUCUGUUAGUGGAGUGGCAAAAGUUCUUUGGAAUAGGACAUCAUAGAGGGUGAGAAUCCCGUAUUUGGUCAUUCCUCCUAGCGUUGUGAUACACUUUCAUCGAGUCGGAUUGUUUGGGAAUGCAGUCCAAAAUGGGUGGUAAAUUUCAUCUAAAGCUAAAUAUUGGCGAGAGACCGAUAGCGAACAAGUACCGUGAGGGAAAGAUGAAAAGAACUUUGAAAAGAGAGUUAAACAGUACGUGAAAUUGUCAAAAGGGAAGCGUUUGACACCAGUGUUGUUUUUCCGAAAAUCAAUUACGAAUGUUUUAUUUUUGAGGAGUUAUGACUUCAUCGGCUUGCUCCAUUCUUUAUGAAACUUUCUUAAUGCACUUUUCGGUUAACAAGUCAACAUCAAUUUCUUUUGUUGUAAAAGGGUAUGAGGAAGGUGGCUUUCUUUUCGGAGAAAGUGUUUAUAGCCUUGUGCCUCUGCAAUCGGAGAGAUUGAGGUCUGCAGCGUAGAUCCUUCGGGGUUAGAUACGUUUGUGCUAAGUUAUAGCUUUUCAUAGACAACUUGUUGACUAUGUUUAGUCUUGUAGCUUACUCGCUUACGCUAUUUUACCUACGCUUAGGAUGUUGAUAGUCACAGCGUGUAC